AAUUAAUACCAACAAAUGCGGUCUAGUUUUGGAUUCUUUCCAUUAUCCAAUCAGAUGGUUAUUUCCUCUUCACAAAAUGCACUCUGAGUAUAUUUCUCCAGUGAGGAGUUUGGAUUAGACCCAGCAACUUCUCAUUUCUGUCAAGGGUCAAGGGCCUUGUUUUCGGCUAAUAGGGUAGAGUAAAGACAAAGCAUUUUUUGGCCUUAAUCUAUGUCCAAUACUUGGCACGAACUUGAGAUUUUGUCCGUAUUGUAUAUUCUUAAGAGCUACCAAACAAACGUAAAACCUUAUUUCUUGUCCUUAUUUCUUACUUUCUUAAUAUUUCUUGUCUUUUCAACUGUUUCUCUUUGCAUUCUUAAUAUUUGUAGCUACACGAGCAUGGAUGCAGCUGUAAACAUUUAAACGAUCUUUUCCAUUAAAAUAUGCAGUCCUGUAGAAGUUUGUGCACUCAAUCUAAUGGUGUAGCUGAAAUUUCUGGUCUUUGAUUCAAGUGUACACAAUUUACUUGGAGGAUCCUGCAACUAUGAACCCGAACUCAGGAGCGGUCUCAAAUACGGGAUAUCAUUCCAUACUCUCCCUUAUAUUAUCCAUUCUAGUAAAGCACCAAUUGCAGUGCACUUCAAAAAUGGUGUUAUGAGUUUAUAGGAUCACAUUUAAUAAGCUUGAACCUUGUAAUGAAAGAGACAAUAUAUCUUUUAUCAAA
Gossypium raimondii (Peruvian cotton) is the source of this 703-nucleotide long non-coding RNA. RefSeq lists it as uncharacterized. NCBI's taxonomy places the organism in Eukaryota, Viridiplantae, Streptophyta, Magnoliopsida, Malvales, Malvaceae. The transcript is spliced from 2 exons. The record is from RefSeq and is a predicted model, not a curated record.